AGUGAACGCUGGCGGUAGGCCUAACACAUGCAAGUCGAACGGCAGCACAGUAAGAGCUUGCUCUUACGGGUGGCGAGUGGCGGACGGGUGAGGAAUACAUCGGAAUCUACUUUUUCGUGGGGGAUAACGUAGGGAAACUUACGCUAAUACCGCAUACGACCUACGGGUGAAAGCAGGGGAUCUUCGGACCUUGCGCGAUUGAAUGAGCCGAUGUCGGAUUAGCUAGUUGGCGGGGUAAAGGCCCACCAAGGCGACGAUCCGUAGCUGGUCUGAGAGGAUGACCAGCCACGCUGGAACUGAGACACGGUCCAGACUCCUACGGGGAGCAGCAGUGGGGAAUAUUGGACAAUGGGCGCAAGCCUGAUCCAGCCAUACCGCGUGGGUGAAGAAGGCCUUCGGGUUGUAAAGCCCUUUUGUUGGGAAAGAAAAGCAGCAGGUUAAUACCCCGCUGUUCUGACGGUACCCAAAGAAUAAGCACCGGCUAACUUCGUG
This 492-nucleotide ribosomal RNA is filed under the name uncultured bacterium. RNAcentral describes it as "partial 16S ribosomal RNA". It matches the Rfam family "Bacterial small subunit ribosomal RNA", at positions 29 to 507 of the family's 1533-position model. The record is from RNAcentral.